UUGGACACACCUUCUGGGUUCUAAGAGCAAUGCUUUUACUCUCCUUAAAUCUUUUCUGGCCAUGGUUCACACUCAAUUCCAUACUACUGUCCAUAUUGUUAGGAGUGAUAAUGCUUUGGAACUGGGUUCCAGUGUUUCUGGUGCAUCCUUUUUUGCCCAACAUGGAAUUAUUCACCAAACCACCUGUCCCCAUACACCUCAACAAAAUGGUGUUGUAGAGAGAAAACAUAGAACCUUACUUGCAACCUGUAGAGCUUUGCUUUUUCAGUCCAAAUUACCCAUUCAUUUUUGGGGAGAUUGUUUACUCACUUCCACUUACUUAAUUAAUAGGAUCCCAUCCAGACUUCUACAUAACAAAUCUCUUUAUGAAGUCCUGUAUGGCAUUGCUCCUGACUACUCUCAUUUAGGAUCUUUUGGUUGCCUUGCUUAUGCAACUGUGCCUAUACCUCACAGAGAUAAAUUACAGCCUAGGGCUAUUGCAUGUGCUUUUCUAGGAUACCCCUUUGAUAAGAAGGGAUAUAGAUUGUAUGAUCUCACCACUCACAAAUACUUUGUGUCAAGGGAUGUUUUUUUUCAUGAAACCUGUUUCCCUUUUGCCUCUGCUUCUGAUGCUUCUCCUCCUCCCCCUUCUGUUCUUUCUUCUGCCCCUUUCCCUCCUGAUUUUGAUCCCCCUCUUUCUUUUUCCAUGAAACCUGUUUCCCUUUUGCCUCUGCUUCUGAUGCUUCUCCUCCUCCCCCUUCUGUUCCUUCUUCUGCCCCUUUCCCUCCUGAUUUUGAUCCCCCUCUUUCCCCUUCCUCUGUCUCUAUUCCAAUUCCCUCUCUUGUCCCUGAUCCCCCUUCUGUCUCUCCUCCUGAUUUUGCUUCCAAUUCCUCUUCUCCUUCCCCUCCCUCUUCCUCUACUGCUCCUCCUCCCCCUGUCUCUCCUUCUCCUCCUGCUUCUGCUGGUCACAGGAGGUCCAGCAGACCGCACAACCCCCCUUCUUACCUAACUGAUUAUGUCUAUCACCUUCCCUCUUUUUCUGGUUCUUCCUCUACCUCCUCCUCUUUGGAAACUGAACCCCUUUACUAUUCUCAAGCUGUUUCUGUCCCAGCUUGGCAGGAUGCUAUGUCCAGAGAGGUUGAAGCUUUGGCUGCCAACAAUACUUGGUCUCUUGUUCCUCUACCUCCUGGCAAAAAGCCCAUAGGUUGCAAAUGGGUCUAUAAAAUCAAGUAUAAGGCUGAUGGCUCUGUUGAAAGGUACAAAGCCAGGCUGGUCAUUAGGGGUGAUACUCAGGUUGAGGGUGUUGACUUCAAUGAAACUUUCUCUCCUGUUGUCAAGAUGUCUACUAUUAAAUGUCUAAUUGCUGUAGCUGUUAAAAAGCAUUGGGGACUUUUCCAACUUGAUGUCAAUGAUGCAUUUUUGCAUGGUGAUCUUGAUGAGGAAGUCUACAUGAAGCUCCCUCCUGGUUUAUCUGUUACUUCUCCCUCUGGUCUCUCCACUUCUGCUCCUAUUGUUUGCAAGCUACAAAAAUCUCUUUAUGGACUGAGACAAGCUUCCAGACAGUGGUAUGCCAAGCUGUCUCAGGCCCUUUAUUCCAGGGGUUACACUCACUCUAUGAAUGACUAUUCCUUGUUUGUCAAAGGUAAACCUGGGUGCAUUGUGAUUCUGGCUGUGUAUGUUGAUGAUAUUAUUAUAACAGGGGAUGAUGUUGCUGAACUUUUAGCCCUUAAAGUCUUUGCGCAAAUUUGUUUCUGAUCUGUUGCACCAGUUUGACUGUGUGGAUGUUUCCCCUGUGGUCUGUCCUUUAGACCUUAAUGCAAAGCAGCAAUCUGACUCUGGUGCUCUUCUUUCCUUUCCUGAUUACUACAGAAGUUUGGUAGGCAAACUUUUAUUUUUAACUCAUACUCGACCUGAUAUAUGCUUUGCUGUCCAGCAUUAAGUCAAUUUUUGAAGGCUCCCCGACUCCCUCAUUUGUCUGCUGCUUUGCAUGUACUUAGAUACCUAAAGGGUACUGUUGAUCUGGGGUUAUUUUAUUCUGAUACUCCUGAUUUUACUGUUACUGCCUUCUCGGACAGUGACUGGGCUGCUUGCCCAGACACUCGCAAAUCUGUCGCUAGCUUCUGUGUGUUAUUGGGUGAUAGUUUGGUUAGUUGGAAGUCCAAGAAACAGCCUGUGGUCUCUUUGUCAUCUGCUGAAGCAGAAUACAGGGCUCUUAGCAAGGUAGUUGCUGAGUUGUCUUGGAUUUCUCGUCUCCUCACUGAUCUUGGGAUAUCUAUUGCAUUUCCACUUUCUGUUUACUGUGAUAACCAGGCAGCUCUCCAUAUUGCUAAUAACCUUGUGUUUCAUGAGCGAACGAAGCAUAUUGAAGUUGAUUGCCAUUUUGUUCAAUCUAUGCUCUCGGAUGGCCUGAUCUCUCUCUCCCAUGUCUCCUCCAACCAGCUUGCUGAUGUGCUGAUCAAGCCUCUGCCUGGAUCUGCUCAUCAUUCUCUCUUGUCCAAGUUAAAGGUGGUCUCCCCCUUCAACUUGCGGGAGGGGAGGGGGGUGUUGAAUUAGGAGAUUAUUUGGCCUCCAAACCUAUACACAUACAUUAAUACUUGUUGUAUAUAAUUGUAUUAUUAUUGUAUAUUGAGGGUAUAUCAUACAAUGGGCUAGAGAACAUGUUGUAUUUUGGUUUGGGCCUACUAUUACAGACUUGGGCUCUUAUUUUCGGGUCUUUUAUUUGACCCAUUUGUACAGGAUAUAUAUCUGGUAGAGUCUUCUGGAAGACACCA
This 2750-nucleotide long non-coding RNA is filed under the name Nicotiana benthamiana. Its description in RNAcentral is "long non-coding RNA (NBEN_LNC008021)". Lineage: Eukaryota; Viridiplantae; Streptophyta; Magnoliopsida; Solanales; Solanaceae. The record is from RNAcentral.